This is a long non-coding RNA of Heterocephalus glaber (naked mole-rat), 1530 nucleotides long. The record is from Ensembl. Lineage: Eukaryota; Metazoa; Chordata; Mammalia; Rodentia; Bathyergidae.
GGUGAACGAGAUCUUGCCACCACUGCUGGGAAGUCUGUGCUCACUGUAUAAGCUGUUGACCUUUACAAAGCCAACAGGGCAGAUGCUGUAAAGCAGAGGGCUCCUCAGACUCAUGCCCGGCUUGGAAAAUCAAGGGUGUGAACAUCCUCUGCGACAACUGAUGGCCAAGGGUAGCAGGAGCUGAUGAAUAAGUCAUCCUCCCACAGAAGCUGAUCCUGCCAAAAACAUUUUAUUUAUCUAAUGUGCAACAGUCCAGUGCACAUUGAUGAUUAUCUGUAGCAUUCGACUCCAUGCCCCUGGUCAUGACAGCAAGAAUCUUUGGAAACAGUAGGACAACUGAAACAAUACUAAAAGCCCAAGGGAAUUCAAUAAAGCAGAUGUGCACUGGCAGCUUCACAGCAAAGGAAGAAAUUUAAAGCCACACUGAGUUGUGCAGAAGGCCUUCAGAUGUGCAAUGGCAAAAGAAUCAUCUAAGUAUUUCUGUGUUUCUUCUGGACAAUGGGAUUGAGAAUGAAGGUGGCAGCUGAACACGACUGUGAAUUCAAAGGCCACAGCGGCAACAGAGGACAAAAUCCAUCAUGAGCCUGAUGGGUUGGUGAGACGGAUUCAGGCACAGUGGGAAGGUGUAGGUUUGGCAAAAGGAUGAGGGUCCCACCUUAACAGCUGGUUUUUGGCAGUCUUCCCAGAAGUGCCUCCCUGAACUCUGAACAGCAGGUAUGAAUAAUGGCAGUUUCCAAAUCCUAUCACCCAGUCUUAAUCAUCCACAGCAUAGAUCCAUCCAGCAUGGCUUUAGUGAAUGCUUGGCCCAGUCGAAACAGAAGUUAAGUGCAGUAAAAGUUCUGGUGCAUCUAGUUAUAGCUGAGACUUUGUGCUGUCAGGCAUGUUUUUACUUGAAACUAUGAGAUAAACAUAGCAUUGCGUUACAAUGCUAAUUCCAUUUGAUGGUGAGCAAUUAAAAACAUUACAUUAAAAAUGAAAACAUUGUAGCUGAGAUGAAAAACUUGGAUGAGUUGAAAGAUUUCAAAGAAUGUUCUUAAUGGAGCAGUUGAUGCCAGAACCCUUGCGAGUACAAGUCUAUUCCUUCCUUCAUUAGGAUUGCUUCAGUCAGAAACAUUUAUAAUGCCUUGGAGGACAGGAUCAAUUCCAAGUCCGAGACCCCAUUUCUCCAUGAUCUGAUCAUGCCUGACUUGCCACCUUCUUCUCUUUAAUGGUUCUCUCAAAACUCCAUUCAACAAGGAUCUACACCACUUAACAGCCAUAGAAAUGCCAAAAAUGAAUUUUAUAUAAAAAAUUAGAAGCAUACAAAGCUUUGAGGAGGUCAAGGAGAACAAGGUUCAGGAAAUCAGGGUUGCAGGAAGAGCAAGAAAGCAUUGCCAGCACCUGGGGCUGUCCACAGCCAUGUACCAAAGCCCAAAGCUUCACUUCUACUGUCCAAAUGUUGCAUGGGUGGCUCAAACCCAGGAACUCAGUGUUAUGGCUGAGUUAUGUCCCUAAGGAUUCUUAUAUCAAAGUCCUGAUCCCCAGUCCCUG